AUACAUGCAAGUCGAGCGGACAGAUGGGAGCUUGCUCCCUGAUGUUAGCGGCGGACGGGUGAGUAACACGUGGGUAACCUGCCUGUAAGACUGGGAUAACUCCGGGAAACCGGGGCUAAUACCGGAUGCUUGUUUGAACCGCAUGGUUCAAACAUAAAAGGUGGCUUCGGCUACCACUUACAGAUGGACCCGCGGCGCAUUAGCUAGUUGGUGAGGUAAUGGCUCACCAAGGCAACGAUGCGUAGCCGACCUGAGAGGGUGAUCGGCCACACUGGGACUGAGACACGGCCCAGACUCCUACGGGAGGCAGCAGUAGGGAAUCUUCCGCAAUGGACGAAAGUCUGACGGAGCAACGCCGCGUGAGUGAUGAAGGUUUUCGGAUCGUAAAGCUCUGUUGUUAGGGAAGAACAAGUACCGUUCGAAUAGGGCGGUACCUUGACGGUACCUAACCAGAAAGCCACGGCUAACUACGUGCCAGCAGCCGCGGUAAUACGUAGGUGGCAAGCGUUGUCCGGAAUUAUUGGGCGUAAAGGGCUCGCAGGCGGUUCCUUAAGUCUGAUGUGAAAGCCCCCGGCUCAACCGGGGAGGGUCAUUGGAAACUGGGGAACUUGAGUGCAGAAGAGGAGAGUGGAAUUCCACGUGUAGCGGUGAAAUGCGUAGAGAUGUGGAGGAACACCAGUGGCGAAGGCGACUCUCUGGUCUGUAACUGACGCUGAGGAGCGAAAGCGUGGGGAGCGAACAGGAUUAGAUACCCUGGUAGUCCACGCCGUAAACGAUGAGUGCUAAGUGUUAGGGGGUUUCCGCCCCUUAGUGCUGCAGCUAACGCAUUAAGC
RNAcentral lists this ribosomal RNA (833 nucleotides) under Bacillus sp. BPNP2. RNAcentral describes it as "bacterial SSU rRNA". It matches the Rfam family "Bacterial small subunit ribosomal RNA", at positions 51 to 865 of the family's 1533-position model. The record is from RNAcentral. Lineage: Bacteria; Bacillati; Bacillota; Bacilli; Caryophanales; Bacillaceae.